UCUAAGGUGUUUAGAGUACAGUACAUGUCUCUGUUAGACUCUAAUGGGUUUGAGAGUACAGUACAUGUCUCUGUUAGACUCUAAGGUGUUUAGAGUACAGUACAUGUCUCUGUUAGACUCUAAGGUGUUUAGAGUACAGUACAUGUCUCUGUUAGACUCUAAGGUGUUUAGAGUACAGUACAUGUCUCUGUUAGACUCUAAGGUGUUUAGAGUACAGUACAUGUCUCUGUUAGACUCUAAGGUGUUUAGAGUACAGUACAUGUCUCUGUUAGACUCUAAGGUGUUUAGAGUACAGUACAUGUCUCUGUUAGACUCUAAGGUGUUUAGAGUACAGUACAUGUCUCUGUUAGACUCUAAGGUGUUUAGAGUACAGUACAUGUCUCUGUUAGACUCUAAGGUGUUUAGAGUACAGUACAUGUCUCUGUUAGACUCUAAGGUGUUUAGAGUACAGUACAUGUCUCUGUUAGACUCUAAGGUGUUUAGAGUACAGUACAUGUCUCUGUUAGACUCUAAGGUGUUUAGAGUACAGUACAUGUCUCUGUUAGUUAUGUGUUUAACUCUCAACUGGAACCACUUGUUUCAUAUCUCCCCUCCCCCCGUCUCUCUCCCCUCUCUC
Oncorhynchus keta (chum salmon) is the source of this 616-nucleotide long non-coding RNA. RefSeq lists it as uncharacterized. The record is from RefSeq and is a predicted model, not a curated record. Lineage: Eukaryota; Metazoa; Chordata; Actinopteri; Salmoniformes; Salmonidae. The transcript is spliced from 3 exons.